Mirounga angustirostris (Northern elephant seal) is the source of this 688-nucleotide long non-coding RNA. RefSeq lists it as uncharacterized. NCBI's taxonomy places the organism in Eukaryota, Metazoa, Chordata, Mammalia, Carnivora, Phocidae. The transcript has 3 exons. The record is from RefSeq and is a predicted model, not a curated record.
CUGUCCUAACCUAUAAAAUGAAAGUGUUAGCACCUGUGAUCGCGACGCUGAGGCAGUGAUUUCCGACAGAAACACGCUGACAGCUGCGCUGCAAGCCCGUAUGUAAUUCGAAAUUUUCCAGCAGCAACUUGCAAAGAGUAAAAAGGAAACAGUUAUUGAGAGAGGGCUGAUGAAAUCUCUGAAUAUAAUUGUGGAUGUGUCUAUUUCCCUCUGCAGUUCUUUGGGGUAUGAGGAAUGUGGAGAGGCAGCAGGAAUAAGAAAAUGAGACUUAAGAAGAUAACUUCAUUUGUUGCAUUCCACCGACAUUUCCUGAGUGCCUACUACGUGUUGAUGAGGAAUAUGCCCACCUCUGGGAAGAAGAAGCAAGCUCCGGGGAGUUUUGGGCUCAAACCGGAGACAUGCCCUGGCCAAGCAUCUGGAUGCAGAGGGACCCUGACGGUCAUCAUUUUCGCCAGUUGGUCUCAACCAAAGGACACACAUCAAAAUACACAGGCUGGGGCACCUUGGUGACUCAGUCAGUUAAGCGUUUGCCUUUGGCUCAGGUCAUGAUCCCAGGGUCCUGGGAUCGAGACCCUCGGCGGGCACCCCGCUCAGCAGGGAGUCUGCUUCUCCCUCUGUCUCUGUCUUCUGCUCCUCCUGCUGGGUUCUCUCUCUCUCUGUCAAAUAAAUAAAUAAAAUCUUCAAAAUA